This 1086-nucleotide long non-coding RNA is filed under the name Zonotrichia albicollis (white-throated sparrow). RNAcentral's name for it is "lncRNA (ENSZALG00000004313.1)". The record is from RNAcentral. Lineage: Eukaryota; Metazoa; Chordata; Aves; Passeriformes; Passerellidae.
CAGCAGAGGCUCCUGGGGGUGCAGACAGGCAUGUGCCACCUUGAUGACGUGCUCCAGCUUCCUUGGCUGCUCCUCCACCUUGGCUGCCAGGAAAAGAGCUGCUGGCACCACAGACUGUGGAGGAAAAUGCUCUGUUUGCUUAAAAAGUCACGAAAUUCAAGAUGAAAAUAAAUAAACCAGGUGGAUUCUCAAUAUUCCUGUAGGGAAUUAAGGCUGUUCAAAUCUGGCCACCAACAGGAGGGACAAAAGGGUCCCCUGUGCCUUCCCAAAACUCCUCCCAAGGUGGGUUCCCCUGGCCAGGAGGGGAUUUGGGGGUUCCCAGCACCCCCCAAAGCCCAGCUUUCACUCACAUUCCUGUGGAACUGGGUGAAGGACUGCACCAUGUAGAAGCGAUGCAUGUACACGAUGGCUGUGUUGAUGGUGAGCUGGGAGCUGAAAAUGGGGUUAAGGAAAAGCACAGAGACCCCCCCAAAACACCCAGGGGGAGCCCCUGGAACAGACCCCACACACCCACAGCAAGAUGGGACAGCCUCCCCUCAUUCCCAGGGCACUUCCCUGCAUCCUAACACAUCCUCCUGAACCCCAAAACGGGCUCAGUGCUCCCCACAACCAAACUGAGCCUUCCCAAAACCCCAGGAGAGCUCUCCCAGCUCCCAAAAUCCUUUUUAGGAAUUACUUUGUCCUCACACAAGCUCAGCUUUCCCAGUCACUCAUGGGCUGACUUUCCCAACACCCCAUUACAGCUUUUCCCACUCCUCUAACCAGAUUUCCUCAAUCCCAAAACGGGUUCAGUGCUCCCCAUAACCAAACUGAGCCUUCCCAAAACCCCAAGAGAGCUCUCCCAGCUCUCAAAACCCCAAGAGAGCUCUCCCUGCUCCCAAAAUCCCUUUUAGGAUCUCCUUGGUCCUCAAACAAGCUCAGCUUUCCCAGUCACUCACGGGCUGAGCUUUCUCAACACCUCAGUACAGCUUUUCCCACUCCUCUAACCGGAUUUCCUCAAUCCCAAAACGGGCUCAGUGCUCCCCAUAACCAAACUGAGCCUUCCCAAAACCCCAAGAGAGCUCUCCCUGCUCCCAAAAUCCUUUU